CCCUCUACAUAAUUCCAUAGUGCCAGAACGUAGAAUGGGUCCUGGUCUUUCACUUAAACAUAACAUUCCAAAGUGCCAGAACGUAGAAUGGGUCAUAGUCUUUCUCUUACAUGGUGACAGCGAAUGUAGAAUGGGUCCCACUGGUCUUUCAUUCCGUACCGUACAUAUCAUAUCAUCACAUCAUAGAUUGAGGUCUAUGGAUCAUCCAAUAUCCAUCCACAUCAACAACAUAUUAUGCAAUGCAACAUAUUCGUGAAUUCUAAUGCAAACAACCUAAUAUAUC
Molecule: long non-coding RNA, 283 nt
Filed under: Manihot esculenta (cassava)
Lineage: Eukaryota; Viridiplantae; Streptophyta; Magnoliopsida; Malpighiales; Euphorbiaceae
Description: long non-coding RNA (MESC_LNC010171)
Source: RNAcentral